Molecule: non-coding RNA, 85 nt
Organism: Felis catus (domestic cat)
Lineage: Eukaryota; Metazoa; Chordata; Mammalia; Carnivora; Felidae
Source: Rfam
GCCUGGGUGGCUCAGUCGGUUAAGCGUCCGACUUCGGCUCAGGUCAUGAUCUCGCGGUCCGUGGGUUCGAGCCCCGCAUCGGGCU